Molecule: long non-coding RNA, 1216 nt
Filed under: Ursus maritimus (polar bear)
Lineage: Eukaryota; Metazoa; Chordata; Mammalia; Carnivora; Ursidae
Description: lncRNA (ENSUMAG00000016603.1)
Source: RNAcentral
AUCCUUGCCCCAAACAAGAAUAGGCUGGUUCAUCAGGGAAGUUGGGAGGCUGAGCAGCUGUGGAGACAGCUGGUGCUUGGAAGCCCUUUCAGCAGUGUCUGGUGCUGGUUUUGCUGAGUAGUGAUUUUCAGGAGGCAACACCUAUAACUUUUCAGCCCCACAAAAUCAUCAGAACAACAUUUAGCUGCUGUUGGCCGGAGUGGGGCUCUGGACGCCAUUUUGUCAGCACAGCAAGUUUCUACCAGCCUGCUUCCGACGACUCAGCAUUCCCGAGGCUCACUCCAUCCCCCCUACCUGUGCUUUAAAAACCUGCCUUUUAAAAUAUCUCCCCAAGAAGUAGCAAGUGCCUCUUUUGACCGAGUCUGCUGACAUGGUUUUUAAUUUGGGAAAGAGGGCGAGUAGCUGUGUGGAAGCAUCACUCUCUGGGAUGUCAGAGUCUCCUUGGAAGAGCCCUAAUUAAGGACUCAGAAUGAUUGACAGGUGGUGGAAGCCCACGGAAAGCACAACUGACAUGCAGCAGAAGUCAAUGUCUCUCAGUUGCGAAAAAAGUUGGCAAUCGGAGACCUUGAAAAGCCUUUGCAGCUACCACCCAUUGGUGAAAGGAGAGGAUUGAUGGGGGCCAGUCUCCACCCGAGCCACCCAGAGAAGUCCCAUCAUGGCCCAUCCUGAAGCUGUAGCCUCCAAGUCCCUGGAACCAUUUGAUCAGAUGUUUGUUCCCAUUUCUCAUUUACCUUUCCCUUGGAUCUAAGCGAGUGGGAAAUAUUUAGGCAGUGUCUAGCAACCUGUCUGUAGGAGGUUAAGAGGGCCACAAAUUAUUUCAUACCCCUAUGAGAGGUAGAGUCUAAUUCACCUCCCUUUGCAUCUGAGCUGGCUUCGGUGACUUGUUUCAUGUUCUGAGGUCCCUGAGGCUAGAUCACAAGAAGGCUUGCAGCUUCCACCCGGGUUUCUGGGGAGCCCCAAGCUGCGAUGGAAGAAAUUUAAUGACGCCAAGGCUGCCGCGCUGAGAGGCCACGGGUGGGUCCUCAGCUGACAGUCUCCGCUGAGCCCCGCUGCCCAGCCAGGGCCACCAAGGCGCCAGACCUGCAAGUGAAACCGUCCCGAGCCUCUACACGAGCCUGCCUCCCAGCUGGCUACCACCAAGUGACCUCCACGGCAACCAUACGGAAAGGAAGAACUCCUGACCCAUGAAAUCAUGAAAUUCAAUAAAAUGAUGGAU